GUGAUCUUACUUGAACAGGAUCUGUUCUAUAGACUCACACCUCGGUAUCCUUUAGCGUGCACACACACGCC
Molecule: small nucleolar RNA, 71 nt
Filed under: Corchorus capsularis
Lineage: Eukaryota; Viridiplantae; Streptophyta; Magnoliopsida; Malvales; Malvaceae
Description: snoRNA Plant_U3
Source: RNAcentral